UUUAGCAUUUUAGUUUAGAAUUCUAAGUAGAAUUUCUGGCAACAGCCAGCCGAGGUGAAAUCAGCUGAUCGGUUUUAAACUACCGACAUUGAAGAAAAAACAUGGCCAUGGUCACACUAACCUAACGUUAAACUAAGUAUUGAAAGGCGGCGUUUUGGUCCAAUCACGUCGGUAAACUAAUGGACUGUUGUUUUCUUCUUCAUUCAAAGGAAUUGCUCAUGUUUUCGUAAUGAUAAUAAUAUUUGUUACGUAUUCAUGGGACUGAAAAGUCAGGAGAGAAGCUGACGCGGUGGCUAGCUUUCGUGGCUGAUACUGCUCGCUUAUAUCCAGGCUGAUCAGUAGCAAAUUUCCUCGACGAAAAUGCACUAUCCCGUAUUAUGGAUGCACAGGUUAAUAUACCUGUUUCAUUCAAGGGAAUAUGUGCGACAAACCAACUUUUUGUUGCAUUGUGUAUCUUUGUUACUUGUGAUUUAAUAUGCUGUCUGUUUCAUUUUGCUUGUCUUGAAGUUAGUUUAAUGAAAUUGAGUACAUGUGGUGAACUUGUAACCAUAUGAAAGUACUUGUACCAACCAACUUCAACUAGAUCUUCAGUGCGUGCAGUGCCGGUCAGCAUUUUUUCUAAUGAAGAAAACUUUUGAGAACUUCUCACUUCAAGCUCACCGUGGAAUUCUCUGUGGCAGACGAACAAGUCCAGCAGAAAAUCUAAGAUAAAUGUUAUUGAAUGGCUGCUUCUCUUUAGCCGCAUGAACAAUGUCUUGAAACUCGGCGGUCAUCCAGUCGUCAGUCGCGUCUUGCGCAAGCUGAUCUGUUGCCGCUUCCUCCAACGCCAAGGCCAACACAUUCGCUCGAUGUAGGUGAGUCAAAUUCAAUAACUGAGAAUAGACUUGCUGCAAAAGAAUUUUCGUUGCUUCCCAGGUCAUGUCAGCGUUCAUUACCAAUGGAACACUUUUUGCUGUGGCUUCUCUUGAAAUGAAGUCUCGGACAUAUGAUAAGGCAACUGCAUUAUCUGAAAGGAACACGAUUUCACCUCGCCUGUGUGAUCCAAUACAAAGGGUCGUUACAAUCAAUGUGGAGUGGUGACCGCUCUACCCAGUUACCUGUAAUGGACGGCCAACUUGGUUUGCCAUUGGUCAUUGCGGAAAUAAAAGUGAAUCUCUUCGUCGCUUGGGACUUUAUCCGGAAUAUCAGGGUGUAGACGCACUCCAUUCAAAAGGGUGGCAUCGUACGUGGCGACAAAGACAAACCAGUGGGAAUGACUUCAGUAUAGCCAAACGUGGCUGCUGAAUGUUUAGCGAAACGUAUAACUGCACCAGGUCACUAGUGCUCCGCUCGUUACAGAUAAGUUUCAUUUCAAGUCGCGUGGUAUUGGAUUGGCAUCUGAAAGUUGCUGUCAGCUGAAAGGCGCCAUUCUGUCGUGGAAUAGUUGAUUACCAAAUUUUAUUUUCGUUACAGAUCAGUAAGUAAUUGGUCAGACAGACCCGCUUAGAAUCCAUUAAGCUCAAAAUGGCUAAAUUACGCUCGAUAUCCAUUAGUUGAACGUUUGUGUUGCUCUGGACGAGAAUAAAGUUGAUGGACACUUGGCUCUCCACGACAACGAAAUAGGCAUUUUGUUGGGCUACGAAAUUCAUCUGGCAUAACAAGACGUUCCCAUUGCUUCAAUAUCUGACACCAGUAUAGAAGACUUGUUAUUCUGCGCUUCCUUCACUUGCUUUUCUAGGAAUUCCACUUCAGAUCUGCAAGUAUUAAAAACAAAAUGUGGAGGACUGUGCUUCUGACGUUCUGAGGUGUGAGUGUUUGUUCGGGCCGCAGACACUUCGUCUGUUUGCUUCCUACGCAUCAUAGAUUCGCAGCUGGUGCGGUAUCGGAAUUGCCCUACAAGAAAUCAAUUACGUCCGCAUACCUGUGAGAAGAUCAAAGUCGGACUACGCAUUGCGCCAUCUUCGGGUGAUACUUGAUAGACGUCGACAAAGCCAUCUUCUCUGCCGAUGAUCAACUGGUUAGCACCCGAAUCGCUGAGAUCGGCCAGCUCGGCUCCAGCGGACCAGUCCAAUUUGACCUAGUGAUGUUCCGUAAACUACCCACUCCCCACUGGUCCCACCAUCGUUUUGAAACAGUUGCAUCGCUGUGGGUAUACCGUCGAGUGGCAGUCGAUGUCGAACAGCCGAAUCCCUGAGGGAGUAAAUGGUUCCAUCUUGGCACCCCAGCAGCGGAGUUAAGCUUGGUACCUGUAAACGGAGGCGUCUCGCAGUGUUGGGCGUAAAACAACAUGGCAAGAGAACUUAAAAAUGAAGGCGCGUACCUUGUUGAGAGUGGUUAUAAACGUAGGAGUUGAAAACAGCCAUCUCCUCCUUACUGGCCAUCCACCUGCACGAAAAUAGUACGAGCUCCUUUACUGUUCACUCCCACCAUCUGCAUACAAAUUGAAGAAACAGCAGCUCUUAUGUAGUACAAGAGACGGAAGUAAAACAUGACUCACAAAUGCUGAAUGGGUUCUACCAGGUUUGUAUCCAUUUUAAAAAUCAGCUUGCCCUUAACUGAAAAGCACUGCACUGUUUGUGCAGUUGCUGUUACAAUCAUCUCCAAUGUAGGUUCUGUGUUCAUCAGAUUAAGAGCAGAGAAAGUUCAGCAGAGCACAGUUCAAAAGUUAAAAAACAUCUUUAGGUGCUCACUGAAAUUUUAUAGGAGAUUUGAGGUCUAUUUUGAAGUCCACGAAAGGUUCUCCCUUUUUUAUGGAAACCAAUUGCAAUUUUCCUCUUUGGUCUCCAAUAGCUACCUGUGCAACAAGCAAAGCAUUUACGCGAAAAAGAUAAGUGAGAAGUAGUCAAUGGAGCUGAACAGAACUGCUCUUCAACGAGGAUACCUGCACGUAAUCGAUUCGUUGGAGCUUCAGCUUGACUUGAGAUUGCAUUUUUGCUAGAUUGCAAAUCAAAAAGAAAAGGGAGGAUUAAAGCGGUUGUGGUUUUUCAUACUUACUAACGGACUGCGAGAUAUGAAACAAACGCGGUUACUAUGGCAGCGUCAAGCGCGCCUUCUUUAAACCACCGCUUUCUAUCUAUUACUAUUGACGCUUAUAUCUAGAAAAUUCCACGACAGUAAAUUUUUAUUUGUUAUUUUACGUUAUUUCUUUAACCUUGGGGUAAUUGGAAAACAAAUUUUAAUACUUGUGGGAGCAGACCACUUAUGCAACAUAUAUAGGCUAUCGUUUACGUGCCUUCCAGAAUUCAGUACCAUGGAACUCCCGUACAGAGCUGGGAAAGUAGUAUUACAAAAUCCGCAAUGCUGUCCCACAGUCAUCAACCACAAAUAAGAAGUGUAUUGAUGUCAAGUAUUAUUCAAGAAUACAGCAGAAGAUAUCGGUUUGAAGAGGACCUUAACCCUUUAUAGGUUCAUUUACUCAUCAAGAUAUGAAGAUCUAACUGAUUUUGUUUUUCAAUCCAGUCAACAAAAGACGAGAUUCUAGUGUAAACUCCGGGGAAAUCGGGAUCUGCGCAUCCUGUAGUAGACGCUAAUUAUACCAAUUUGAAUCCAUUUGGCACCGGGCAUGUCUUGAACUAGCAAUGGACCUCCACUGUCACCCUGCGUUAUUACAUGUCCAUGGAAAACGAAAGCAUAACUUGCAUGUUGAUCGGAGGAGUCAUUUGGCGGCAGGCAAAUAGGAGAAAUCGUAGGAGUAAACACAACAGGUGAAUCCAGAGUCAGAAGAGCGAUAUCGUUGUACUAAACCAUUGCAAGGUUUCCGCAUUGAAAUCAUUAUGGUAUGCCACCCGUAACACCGUCUUCGUAACUUGUGGAUCCUUCACGGGCCUUAAGCUAUGCAUACCUAGCGCCACUCUCAGUUUCGAAAUGUUCCUUGCCGAAAAGCUGCGGGGAAAGUUUUAUGUUAUCUGAUUUGAAAAAAUGCAGGUAAAGACGCAGGUGUAAAUGGUUUUAUACCUGACCACACAGUGAGCCGCGGUGACUACGUGUAUCGAGUCAAUCAGAGAUCCACCACAAAAUUGCCGAUUGUACAUCAAUAGUGCCACCUUAAAGUUGUUGAUGGAACCCAAGAAGACGCAAGCCAAGAGUUUUUGACCGCAUUAGUUUCUCCAAAACUCGGCGUUUUGUAAGGUCCAGAACCACACCUACGGUUGUCAUUCUUUAGGGCAUGGUUGACACUUACACCAGAACACUGCAAGGUAAUCAAAAGUAGUAAGUAAACUGGCAACACGCCUGGAUUAGAGCACUUCAUAUUGUAAGCUGUAACGGUAACGCACUACCCAGAAUCCCGUGAUUUGAAACCACAAUCCAUGACGACAAUUUAUGACCCGUGUCAAUAUCGCAAUCUACCAUAUGAUUGAACUAUCACGUACCGACAUAUAAUGUUGAGAUCACCGC
This 4374-nucleotide long non-coding RNA is filed under the name Daphnia magna. RNAcentral describes it as "uncharacterized LOC116915699, transcript variant X15". Lineage: Eukaryota; Metazoa; Arthropoda; Branchiopoda; Diplostraca; Daphniidae. The record is from RNAcentral.